GAAGACUUUCAAGACUAAAUCAUUUAUAGCUGCACAAUUCUUGCACUAUGAAUUCACAUAAGCUGUGAACUUCUUUCCGUAGUCUCUUGUUUUCCUGAUCUUAGACUAGAGUGUAACUUGAAACUGAGACCUCUGCUGGAGAAGCAGAGUGAAUAUACACAAACUCAAUGCUUUUCCCUGCUGGCAACGAGUCAAUCCAUGCUGGGAAUGAGUAAGAAUCACUGGACUUCAUGAGACCCCAUAUAGGACCGUAGAGCUUGGAAAUCGAAAGCUUCAAAUUUUUCAAGGUCUUGGUAGACUUGUUGGUUACUAUUGUCGAGUAUCUGUAGAAAGUUUUUCCUUUCGCAAGCCAUGAAGUUGUCUCCUAAUGUGCUAUGUCAAUAGGACUGGCAGAUGAAGCUGCAAAAUGGUUUUUGUCACAUUAGAUGUAUCCUUUCAUAAAGAGAUGUUGCUCCAAUAUGUACCAAAAGUGUAUUCUGUUAGGGGUUAUGAACUAAUCCCUUCUAGCAAGAGCGAUGAAUAGAAUGAAAAUCAAAUCAAUCCAGUUUCCCAUUUUCUAAUAUUCCAAUCGAAAAUGAACCACCUUCAAGAAGCAGCAGAAUGUUACCUGUAGCUGGUGUUAUUUCAAGUUUUGGAGCUGCUUUCAUCUGAGUUUUAACCAGUUUAAAUGCAGGAAGUUCCACUGAAGAGACGAUGCAUAAUUAUUCAAGUCUUGUAAGCGAACACUAGAUAAAACUUCAGAUUUGCAAACAUGAAGUCAUUGCACAUUUGAACUAAACAUACCUGGAAGGAGCUGGUUGUACCCGUCAUGACCACCAUGUAGCCUUGCUAAUAAGCCCAAAAGGGGGGCAUUGUUGUAGAUAGCAGGUACAGUUUGCUCAUAGUUGUCAUAAGCAUCAGGUCUCCAACAAGUGCACCGGUAAGGAGAUUCGGGUCACUUCCCUUCCUGCUGAACCAAGUGGCACACCCUCCUCAGCAACUAACAAAUGAAGGGUCUACCUUAAAGGAGACUAUUGAAGAACCUCUGUGGUGAACUUGUUGUGGGUAGUUGUUUCCAUACCCCACCAUGUAACUCGUGGCUCUUGGGUUGUCUCCAAGAAUGUAAUAAACCUUACAUGAUAAAAAAACAAGAUUAGAUUCUUUCUGCUUGUUAAUUCAACUUCAUGAUUAUCAUUCAAUAUACUCCAUUUCAUCUUGGGUAUUGUUUCGCGCAGGUAAUCGUUAACAAUUAAAAAGGAAUCAGACGAUUGUAUAAGGAACAAACCUCUUGAGACGAAGUCUCAAAAAGGGGUGUUUUAUUGGCGAUAAUUUACAAUUGAAAAUAAACAGAUUGCCUCCAAGGGGCGCAAGCACACGAGUACUAAAAGAAAUGUUUAAGUUUAAACUAAGAAAUCGAAAUUACAUAUUCUUUGUUUGAGAGUAUUUCAUUUGGAGUCCUUUUCUCUAUGUCUUCUCUUCAUUUUAUAUUCUCUUGAUUAUUUCUUCGUGACAAACCGCUUGGAAACUGCUUGAUUGCUGUAUAACUACCAACUUUCUUUAUAGUGGCUAACUUGUCGUGGAACUGCCGUCUCUAACUGUUGCCAUUACUUUUCGUCGUUCAACCGCCUUCAACUGAGCUCCUUGAAUCGUAGGAUGUGAUAAGAUCACUCAAUAACUGCUUCAACAACUGCUAUUCUGGAUAACCAUAAUGCUUUAUACUUGCUAAGAUCCUGGGUGAUUCGAAGGUUUGAGCGAGAACGGGGUCAUCGCUCUGGGUGACAGUAAGGUACUCCAUUUGCUCAGAUUCUGGGUGUCUUGCAAGUUUGGAUGAUGAUGUUACCGUGUUCGUUUUGGACCUUUAUCCUGGACUCCCCAAUUGGGCUUCACUCUUUGAGCUAUUUGAUUUGGGCUGCACUUUUAGUGUGUCAACAAUUACCCCCCAAUAUGGUAGAAUUAAUGCCAAUUAUUAAUCUUUGCCAUAUUCACAUUGUAUUUUCCAGCAAUAUUUGAAAUUCUCAAGAAUUUCAAUCAUUAUUUCCUUCCACAGCCUGAAAAGGUGCAACGUUACAAACCCUUAUAAACCCAAAAGACACACCAUUUCAUCGCACUACUAAACCACGUCUCUAUAUUUCAUGCCUCCUCCUCGCUAUUUUACUGUUCAUCUUCUUGCUUCUCUACUACGUUUUUCAAGCAAACCUUAUCAAAACUGUACUUUGUUUCCAAUGACGACUUCACAAACUCAAUCUGAUGAUUCUUUUAGUUUCGAAAAUUUCCAAAAAAUCCUUACUAGGCCGUAUGUAAAUCCAAACUUCCUUGCACAAGCUCAUGCUGACCUCAAUGAAUUCUAUCUGGGUCCAUCGUUUAAUAAUGCCGAAGCCGUUGGACAAGUGGCGGUGGGUCAGCUGUUCCCUUGUACUCAAGGUCCUCCGUUCCUGAACUCUUUGCCAUUGAAGCCGAUUCGCGAAAAAGGUAUUUGCACUUGGCCCAAAUUUGAUGUUAUUUUUCGUAGAUGGCAUGCACGUCUUGUGAAUCAUGGCCCCACCAAGGCGAUUUUUGAUCGUGCAAGGAUUUCAGAUUUAUUAGAAAUUACUCUUCAACCCCCAAAUUUUGACCCAAUGCUUUUUCCUAUUGCUUUGAGUUUUUGGUCUUCUGAGAAUAACAUCUUCGUUUUCCCUCUUGGUCCCAUAUCUAUUACUUUAAGGGAUGUUGGAGCCCUAGUAAAUCUUCCGCCUUUGGGCGAUACCAUCUUUUCUGGUAUCUUGAUUUUCAGUGUUGCCCCGAAAUUUGACAAGAAACUUACUGAGUCCUAUUCAAGCCUGCAAGGCUUUUAUAAUCACUCAAGCGCUGAACCUUCCCAUGCUGAGCGUGUGGCCUUUCUUCAGAUUUGACUUUGUAAAUAUAUUCUUUGCGUGCCAAGUAUGAAACCUUCUAUGAGCUACUUACCUAUAGCGCAUGAAUUGACGCGUGGUAGGCCUUUGAACUUAUGUUCUUUCUUUCUAGCCACCCUUUAUAGAGGCAUGACUUCCCUUCAGUUUCAACUGAAGAAUGGUGCAUCUCCCACCGGCAUUGGCCCCCUUUGGUUCACUCAACUGUGGUUGAGAGCAUAUUUUCCUCCACUUAGUGCUCCAUCCAUUUCCCUUCGUUCUGCUAGCUACUAUGGGCUGACCAUUGAUCCACUAACCCCUGUAAAUAUGUCCAGUAGGGACAUUUUUUUAUUCUUUUAUACCUUAAAUUCGGUUCCUUCUUUCUUUCCUUUUCCCACUCAUUUGACCCCAGAUUAUGUGCAACCUCCAUCCACCCUAGACAGUGCGAGUGCCUCUCUGCUUGUUUGGGUUCAGUUUUUGAUUGGGAGGGAAUUGUUCCACGGUAUCUUAACUGGAACCAAUGCCAAAGCUGGUGUUGAAAUAUAUGCUCCCCAAUUUUCUGCUCGCCAACUUGGUUUUGGCCAAACUUGGCCUAUUCCUCCUUGUUACUUCAAAAAUUUGACAGACCGCUUUCACACCAUUAAUAAGGCAGAGGCACAAGCUAUAGAUGCUCGCAACAUUCUUUUGACGAGCAAAUUUUCAUUAGCCCCUUUCAAUUCUAGCCGUGCUGUCCAUCCUCUUUUUGAACAGUUUUGGCCAUCAGUAAAACGCCGAUUGUUUGCAACUGAUGCUAAUCGUGCCUUCCAUUUAUUGGACCAGCCAGGCACUCCCUCUACUUUCCCUGUUUUGGUCACCCCUGUGUCCAUUAGGAAUCCUUCUUCCCCUGCUUGUGCUAAACAUUCUAUCCAUCCAUCUGCUUCUCUACCUGCCAAGGCUACUGCAUCUAAAAGUGCCUUAAGCCUCAAACGGCCAGUUUCAGCAUCUCCCACUUUGCAGGAUGAUGACGAUGGCGCUCCUCUCAUCCUUAGGAGAAAGGUAAUUGAAUUUGUUUAUUCCCAAACAUACUUUUCUAUGUACUAAUAGUUUACCUGAAUUUCUCAGAAAAGUUCAGCCUCUCCUUCGUAGGCCUUGGUUCUGGCAGCUCCUGCUCCAUCAUCUUCUGCUGAAGCUGUUUCGUUCAAAUUAGCUGAUGAAGGGAUUAUACUUAAAGAGAAACCCUUAGUUCCGGAACCUUCAUCACAACCAGUAGAAGGGCCACCUUCUUCCCAGGGCGUUGACCCCUCAAACAUCGAAUCAGAAGGUAAUAUAUAUUUUGAUGUUUUACCUUCGCUUGCACUACUGGUUUCUAAUUCGUUACUUCUUGAAUUAUGCAGAGGCUUCCAUGGGCCUACCCGUUGUGGCAGAGUCUUCUCACCCAGAUAAGGGGAAGUCCCCACAGGUGGUGGAGCUAACUGGUGAUAUGCCUGAACUUCCCAAGAUUGCUGAUGAGGUAACCUUUUGUUUCAUUUUCAUUUUUGCUUCGUUUGUUGUAGUGAAAGUCCUCAAUGUUGGCAUAUUUCUUUGCAGGAUGCUGAUGACAUUGUGCGUUCCAUCCAGGACUUGUUUACUUCCUGGGGGCAAGUCAAGACGUCUCGCCUUACUUCAACUAGUCAUCCUUCUGCUUCUUCAGAGGAAAAUAUGAAGUUUUUCAAGCAGUCGGUAUUUGAGUACGUGUCUUUCAUGGACAUGGAUAUUGGCCAGGCUAGUGCUACUAAACAUAAGGAUAAGCUUGAGCUGUUGAGUGCGAAAUUGGCGCAAGCACUUACACUUCCGUCGCUCAAUGUUUCUGCUGACUUUAAAGCGACGUUGAAGGUUGUUCAUUCUGACAUCCUCUCCUUGCUAGCCAAAAAUGUUGAACUGAAGGCCAGAAGUACUCAAUAUCUUCGUGCUGCAUCUGAAAGAGAGUCUUUGCUUCGAAAUUAACAAAGCCGAGGAUGAAUUAAAAGAAAUCUCUUUCGACGUUAUGAUCAAAGACUCUCUGAUGACAAGUUUGGCUGUAGAGAUGAAGGAGCUUCAAGCAAAAAUGGACGACUGUAGGGCGAGAAUGGCUGCUAAAAAGCGUAAUACUUCCCAAGGAAUUGAACGAACCAAGUCUUUGGUUGAGCAGUACAAAAAGCUGGAAGUUGACGACGAUGUUGUAGCUGAAUUAAAUGUCGCUUCUGCUCAGCAGAGCAAAGAUUGGGGGAGACUCAGGGAAAGAAUUCGUUCGGCCUGGGGUGAAUUGUAAUUAAGACAUCUAAUGCCUUAACUUUCCUUUUCUAACUACAUACUAACUUUCCUUUUGUAACUUCGUACUAAUUGCCAUUGCUAAUUUUGAAUGUAACAGCAGUUAUUGUCGUUAAUGAACAACUAAUUUAUCUACUUGCGUAUUAAUUGACGUUGUCCUUAAUCGUCAACCUUCCAAGCAUUUAAUUGUUUUAUGCUAAGAUUCAUGUACAUUCUUCCUUGGUAUUUCCGUCUCUUUUCCCAAUACUUUGGGCCAUUUGGUUUCAGUUAUUAGGCACGAAUGUGGCCAUUCACAUUCUGUCUUUUCACCUUCACGCUUCUAUAAAUGUGUGUGUAUUUCACACUCAUCAUUUUCAUUUCCAUUCUUUUCUUCAAAAACUAAUUUGCUACCAUCGUUUGGCAUCUCAAUAAUUGAUCCAAAAUUUUCGUCUUCCAUAGAAAUGGAUCAUUUGAUCCGCCCAUUUUGCUAUCUAUUUUGAUGUCACCUUUGGUAUGGGAGAUAUAGGAAAUAUUUUUUGGCCAGCAAAAUUCUUCCCAUUGUCUCCAUGUUCUUUAUAAGGAGUUCAAUGAUAGAAGGUAAUUUUUGAGAUUACUUUACAAGCCACUUUGCUUGCUGAGAGUGCUUCUCAGUCUCCUUACCUGUUAUUUCAAUAAUGCGAUUAGGCAGGCGAUUUGAGGGUGCUUUUCUUCCUUUUUGCUUGUUGAGAGUGCUUCUCGGCCUCUCUGCCUGUCCUUGCAGCAGUGCGAUCAGGACGGCGACCAAAGCCGAUUCACUCUCUUGUUUGGCGAUCGACCGAGAAAUUAGUUUGCUUUCAAUUGUAGCUUAUAGAGCAUUUAGUAUUUUGUAUCUCACAAUUUGUAAUGUAUAUUUGAUAAUAAACGAAUUUAUUUGAACGUAUUUCAUUUUGGCCCUAUUUAUCUACGAUCGUUUAACGUAAUUUGAUUACGCUUUUAUUUGUUCAUUCUUCCAUAAGGAAGGAACAUAUUUUUUUAAAUAUUUUCCAUUAAUGAACCUCAUGUGCUUGGUGCCAUCUAAAUCUUUUAAAUGGUAAGCUCCAUUAGGCAACACGCUAUUUACUUUAUAUGGCCCUUCCCAAUUGGGCGACCACUUGCCAUACUUUGGAUCCUUACUAUCCAAAUGGAGUAUUGUUUUCCAAACCAAUUCGCCUAGGCUAAUGACUUAGUUAUAACUUUUUUAUUGUAAAACUUAGCCAUCCUUCGUUUUUGAACUUGCAAUCUAUCUAGGACGUCCAACUUUAAUUCGUCCAACUCCAAUAAGUUUUGAACUAGUGAUUCGGUAUACUCACCAUCGCUCAACUUAUGUUACAAACACACUCUGAUUAAUCGCACAUUGAUUUUCAUAGGCAAAAUGACCUCCUGUCCAUAAGUAAGUUGGAAAGAAGUAACUUUGGUACUUGACCGAGGCGACGUCCUAUAAGCCCAUAAAGCUUUAUUUAGACAUUCGUACCAAUUUCUGGUAUUUUUAUCUAUCAUUUUCCUUAUGAUUUUUUAGAAUCUUAUUAGAAGAUUCUGCCUGUCUGUUAGAUUGAGCGUAAUAUGGUGUGAAAUUCACUAAUUUAACUCCAAACUUGUUCAAGAAUUUAUUCACUUGAUCUCCACUUAAAGAAGUUCCGUGAUCUACCAUCAAAGUUUGUGGAAUCCCAAAUCUAUAAAUAAUAUGAUCACGGAUAAAUUCUAUGACACUCUUUUGGGUGAUCUCCUAUAAAGGUAUCGCUUCUACCUACUUAGUGAAAAAAUCAGUUGCAACUAUAACAAAGGUAUGUUGCUUGGACGAUGGGGGAUAAAUCUUCCCUAUCAGGUCUAUCGCCCAACCCUUGAACGGCCAGGGUUUGAUAAUGGGUGUCAUCUCUCUUGCUGGCGCCCUUUGUAUUGGACCAUGUUUUUGGCAUGCUAGACAACUCUUCGCAUAUUGAACACAUGAUUCUCCCAUCUUGGGCCAAAAAUAUACAUUCUUAAUAAUCAACCAUCUCAUCUUUUGGCCAGCCUGAUGAGCUCCACAUAUCUCUUCAUGCACUUCAGCCAUGAUCGUUCUGGCUUCUUGCAAACUUACACAUUUUAGUAAUAUACCAUCAGAGAGCUUCUUAAACAACUCUUCAUCUAUCAGUGUAUAGUUUAGCAAACGCAACUUCAUUUUUCCACUACCUCCUUUAUUAGGUUCUUUAAGGAAUCUUUUAAUCUCUGCCCUCCAAUUUAUUGCAUCUCCAUCUUGUAUGCAAUGAAUUUCAGUCCUUCUCGCCCUUCUUUGGACUACAGGCAAUAUUAUUCCAUAUUCAUAAGUAGAUUUUCAAUUUAAAGCCUUUGAAUACCCUGAGGCCAUCUGGGCCAACUCAUUUGCUAUGUCAUUAUAUAUCCUAUUAACAUAUUGAAGCUCUACUUGGUCGAAUUCUUCCAACAAUUCUUGGGCGAUUUCAUAUUGACUCAUAAUGGAAUCACUUUGACAUUUAAAAUCACCGAUCAAUUGGUGAAUUAUCAAUUGAGAAUCGCCUCUAACGAUCACAUUCUUUACCUCCAUAUUUAUCAUAAAUUCUAAACCCACGAUUAAUGCUUCAUAUUCGGCUUGAUUGUUGGUGCACAUUCUAUCCAAAGUGAAUGCGAUCUUGUAACAAAUUUCUAAAGGAUUUAUCAAUGCUACUUCUACUCCUGCACCUUUAGAGGUCUUCGACCCGUCGAAAUAUAAAAUCCAAGGUUUUAGUUCGAAUGAAUUGAUUUCUAAUUCAAUUUCCUCAAGCAUGUCAAGGCAUGGAUGAUCGGCCAGAAAGUUAGCCAAAGCCUGAUUUUUGAUUGCCUUUUGGGGUAUGUAUUGUAUUUCGAAUUCUGAUAAUGCUAACGUCCAAAGGCCUACCCUCUGAUGUAAAAUAGAGCGAGAGAACAUAUACUUAACCAAAUUUACUCUAGAAAUCAAAUAUACGAUUACGGGCCGUAAAUAAGCUCUUAAUUUCGUACACGUGAAAUACAAUGCAAGACAUAAUUUAUCAAUGGCAGAGUAAUUACAUUCACAUUUUGUUAACCGUCUACUCAAGUAGUAAAUCGCCCUUUCUUCACCAAAUUGGUCUUCUUGCACGACCAUUCCAGCUAUUGAUUCUUGUUCAGCCGAUAUAUACACUUUCAUUGGCCGUCCUAGGAUUGGUGACACCAACACUGGUGGACUUGAUAAAUAUGUCUUUAGGCUUUCAAAAGCCUUUUAAUGCUCUUCUUUCUAGAUGAACUCGUCCGGAUUUUUCAGCUUUAAAAGUGGCGAAAAAGCUUUAGUUCAUUUUGCACAGUUAGAAAUAAAGCGUCUUAAAAAAUUUCCUUGGCCUAGGAACCUUUGCAAUUCUUUUUUAUUGCUAGGUGAUUUGGCCUCUAAAAUGGCCUUCGCUUUAUUUUUAUCAAGUUCAAUCCCCAUUUUGUGUACUAAGAAAUCAAGGUAGUUUCCUGCAUUAACGCCAAAUGCACAUUUCAAGGGAUUCAAUUUUAGUUUAUAUUGCUUCAUUCGCUCAAAUGAACAUCUCAAUUGUUCAAAAUAGUCUUCUUCUUUAAUGGAUUUAACCACUAUAUCAUCUACAUACACUUCAACAAAUUUGCCUAUCAUAUCGUGAAAAAUCAAGUUCGUUGCCCUUUGAUAAGUCGCUCCUACAUUUUUCAGGCCGAAAGGCAUAACUACCCAUUCAAAACAUCCUAGAGAUCCAGGGCACCUAAAGGCAGUUUUGUGUAUAUCUUCCGUAGCUAUAUAAAUUUGAUUGUAUCCUGAAUACGCAUCCAUGAAGGAAUAUAUUACGUGUUCGACAGUCGAGUCUACUAAAGAAUCUACUGUAGGCAUUGGAUAUUCAUUUUUGGGUGUGGCUAUGUUUAAGUUUCUAAAGUCUAUGCAUACCCUUAAUUUACCAUUCUUUUUUAGCAAUGGCACGAUAUUGGAUAACCACUCUACAUAUCUGGCUGUUCUAAUAAAGCUUGCUUUUAAUAAUCGCUCUAUUUCUUUCUUAAUCUCUGGAAGUAUAUUAUGAGUAAAACUCCUAGGAGGUUGCUUAUGAGGUUUAAAAUUUGGCUUGGUUGACAAUCUAUGUUCCACCAAAUCUCUAUCUAAACCAGGCAUAUGUUCAUAUUUCCAAGCAAAACAAUCAUUAUAUUCCUUUAAUAAAGUGAUUAAUUUAUCACUAACCUCUUGAUCGAGCAUCUGACUGACGACUAUUGGGCGAUCUUUCCCUUCAUUGCCAAUAUUCACUUUAAUCAGAGGGUCUUGUGCUUGAGCGUAUCCAUGUUUGGUGAUCUUCAUUACUUCAUCGUCCAAUUUCUUUAUGGGCACUUCUUCUUCUAAACAAUCCACUUCGUUGACUUCUCGGCCAAUACUUUGUUCCAAUUCAAACACUGCCAAUUUGUAUCCUAAUGCUUUCAAGGCUGCUUCUUCUUUCGUCUUGUCUUUACAUUCUGUAUUGAAAGCCAUUAAUUUGGCUUUGAAGGCCUGAACAUCGGCCAUUUGUCUUUGUUGCUUACAACUCAUUUAAAACUCCUUGAUUAAUUUUUUUGCCAAUUACUGGCUUUUCCAGGGCUACUAUGUUUGGCCUCAUUUGAUUGAACAUUUUAGUGAGUGCAUCUACCGAAAAUGGCUCUUCGUUCUGUGCAACAAUUUGAGUUUCUUCUCCAUUUUGGACUACUCUGACAGGUCCGUAAUUUUCUUGGUACAUGAACCUUUCCACUGAGUUUGCUUCUACGACAAAAGGUCGAUGAUCUGCCUGCACCACUUCUGUUUUGCCCUUGUCAUUCCAGAAAAUUAGGCAUUGAUGGAGCGAUGAAUGUAUGCAGCAACUUCCGUGUAUCCCUUCCUAAUAACACAUUGUAACUAGUAGGACCAUCUAUUACGAAGAAGACUAUGAUCCUAGUAGUUGUCCCUACAGUUAUGUCCAAUGGCAUAACCCCUUUAACUGAAGUUGCUCCUCCAUUGAAACUUGUAAGGAUGACUUCUGUUGGAAUCACAUCACUUUUUGUCUUUGCGAAUUUUCUCAUCAUCCUAGAUGGAAUGGUGUUUAUAGCUGCUCCAUUAUCGAUAAGUACUUUCGCCACAGGUAUACCGUUAACUAAAGCCUUAACGUACAAUGGUCUCAAGUGUUUAGUUAACUUCAUGGCUGGUCUCUUAAAAAUAACCUUUUCGACAGCAUCUAUUUCCAUUUCCUGCUUGUUCUCAGUUGAAUUAUCCUUUUGUGAUAAGUCAACGUGCGGUAUGUCGUACUGAGCUUCCGCUUCCCGAAUUUCUUUUUUAUUGUUUUCUAAUGCUUCUUCUUCGGUUACCCAACUUGUGGGAGGAGGUAUUAUUCUUGGAGGUGAUCCAUACUUUUCAGAGUGAGGUACUCUAUUUAUCCUCUUGGACGUCCCGUACAGCACCUAUUAAUCGAAAGAACGCCCAGAUGGUUCCCCCAACAAGUCCACUUCACGAACUUCCUCUCGAUGUAGUUACUUCAACAGAGUAUUGUACGAUAUUCCUCUCUUUCUUCUUUCUGCUUCCAAAUCAAUUUCCUCUUCGAUAUCCGUCAUACCAUCAUCCUCUUCACCAUUGUAGGCCCCUCUAGAAGUUUGGCAUUCUUCACAUUCCAGCACACAUGCUUCUUCCUCGUUAUCCUUCCUCUCUUCUUCUUCUUUCUCUUUGUUCUUGAACUCAUUGGCUAGUAAAUAGUUAUUAGCCAUGACAGGAGGUAACGUACUAAACUGAAUAGUAAGGGGCUGAUCUGGAUCUUCUCCAUCCCUUCUGCCUCGCUCAAACUUCGAUUUUCCAAAAGAACUCUCUGACAAUUCUUCCAUCGAUUCACCUGUACCAGUCUCCUCACUAUCUUCGAGAACAUUUUGAUUGGCCACCUCAAGUAGUUUAGGCUCCUUAGGACGUGGCAUUCCCUGUUGUUGCCUCAUCAUUCGUCCAUAAUUCCGUUGAAAACGCCUUUGUUGGGUUCUAGUCAUCUCGUUGAAGGGUAUCACCCUUCCUGCAUUAUACUGGAACGAAUGCCAUACAUUUGGUUGGCGAGGUUGUGACCUGAAUGUUCUUCCAUUAUUUAUUGACCUGAACUACCUCUCAAAAGGCAGUCCUCUAUAGAAUGAUGUACCUCGUCCUCUACCAGGCUGAGCAUUUGGGAAAAAAACUAAGUCGAUGGUGAUGCUGCCAUAUCCCUGGUUUCUUUGUAUUUGCACUCACUUCUCUUUUACAUCUUGCACACAGGACGUCUUCAUCCUUUUUAGGCUCCUUCCCUUUGAUACGUUCAAAGACACUGGGGUGUGGCCCAGGGUCCUCUUCUCCGUCAUCUAUAACCAACUUGAAUUUUGGCAACUUGUUUUUGAAAUCAGUCGUCACCAUGUUCACCCCAAGUGGCUGUGGAAAAGGGUUUUCAUCCAAUGCCAUCUUCUUCUUAUCCUCGAACGUAAUUCAUCCUGAUUUAAUGGCGUCCUGUAACACAUGGCGAAAAACCAAACAGUUGUUAGUCAAAUGCGACCAUGCAUUAUGCCACUUACAAUAUUUUUUACCCUUGAUUUGUUCAGGGCUUGGCAACUUAUGUUUAUCGCUCAACUUUAUCUGCUUAUCCUUAUAUAGUUUAUCAAAUAUAAGGUCAGAUUUGGUUACGUCGAACGAAAACGUUCUAGCCUUUUUGUUUUCAUCUUUUAUAGGCUCAUCCUUGCCCGAGGAUCUAGGUUUAGCCAUUAUAGGACAAGCAUAUGCGUCUCCUUUGAUUAAUUCGACCAAACACAUUUCAGUUUGAUCGUAAUACUUGUCAUUAAUGGUAUGAACAUUAAAAUUUGGGUCUCUAUAAUAAGUCCCCUUGCUAGAAUUUUUUAUUUGCUCUUCUUCUCUUAUUAAUCGUUUAUACCUAAUCACGUUUGCGCUCAAGAUCAGGAAAUUCCCUGUCAUGGAAUUUCUUUUUCAAAUCAAAGCUUAGACAAUUUUGAGCGAUUUUGACAAACUCUUUUUCGGGCAAAAGUACAAAACAUUUACUUCUUACUGUCUUGAACCUUUGAAGGAAACCUUCUGCCCAUUCGUUCGACAUUUGGCGUAGAUUUGCCAAAUCGACCAAAGUAACUUCAGACUCAGUCUUAUAAAACUGAGUACGGAAUAAUUGCUCCAAUUGUUGCCAUGUUUGAACAGAGUUCGCUGGCAAAUUGAUGAACCAAGAGAAAACUACUACUGUUAAUGAACUAGGGAACAACCUCAUUUUAUGGUAGUCGGUUACUUCACCACUUUGCAGUGUGAAUCGUCCUAUGUGUUCUAGAGUAGACACCUCUCCUAAACCGGUAAAUAAUGAGAAUUCUGACACUUUAUACCCUCUAGGCCAUGGAUAUGCUUGGUCUACCCAAUCAGGGUAUGGUUUUGUGUAAGUCGACCUAAUGAUAGGACGUACCCCAAAAGCCAUUUGAUCCUGUACUAUUUUCAUAAUUUGAUUUCUUAACAUGACGUUGAGGUUAUAUGGAAUUCCUACAGGUUGGUCGGUCGGUUAAUUUGCCUGAGGCCUGAUGUUUGGUCCUUGGUUGGCAACAAAGUUGCCAUGAUUUGGGUCAUUUUUACCAUUAGCCUGAAUAUUUAUCCCAUCAUUGACACGUGGGGUAUUCUGUCCAUUAUUUAGUACAUUGUUUCUUAUAUUUAGGUUACCCCCCAAGUUAGAUGUACCAUUACCACUAUUCUGAUUUGGCCUUACACCAUCCCCCUAGUUUGAAGUAGGUGGACCAAAAGGUGGUUCUAUCCCCUGAUUUGGACUUAGGACUGGGGAAUUAUGUCCUACGAUUGUCCUAGUUUGAAAGUGAUUUGCAAUAGGCACAACUGGCUGACAAAUUUGGCCUAUUAACUUAUUCAUUAUUUCAUUUAAUGUAUUCAGUUGUUUGGCCAUGCUGUCAUAAUGUGCAUUCCCAUUUUUGGGUAAAUCUUUCCAUAUUAUGAACAUUUCGAGAUUUACCUAUUCAAUGACAUCCUGUGUGAGUUCUCCAAGCAAUGCAAGCAUGGUUCGAGGACUCAACUCUGUCAUUAGUUCGUAACGAUCGUGACUGCUCUGACUCCGUCCCUUUGUUUGUGGAGAGCUUUGCUGCUCCUCAUAUCGCUCGAUCAUAGACUAGACUCCUCCCUAACUUGCUGCUUCCUUAUCAGAUUUGUGAGGCAUAUUGUUUCACCUUUUGUAUCUUCAACACCAAACACCAAAGUCCCACCGGGCGUGCCAAAUUGUUUCGCGCGGAUAAUCGCUAACAAUUAAAAAUGGAUCAGACGAUUGUGUAAGGAACAAACCUCUUGAGACGAAGUCUCAAAAAGGGGUGUUUUAUUGGCGAUGAUUUACAAUUGAAAAUAAACAGAAUACCUCCAAGGAGCACAAGCACACGAGUACUAAAAGAAAUGUUUAAUAUUAAACUAAGAAAUCGAAAUUACAUAUUCUCUGUUUCAGAGUAUUUGAUUCGGGGUCCUUUUCUCUAUGUCUUCUCUUCCUUUUAUAUUCCCUUGAUUAUUUUUUCAUGACAAACCACUUGGAAACUGCUUGAUUGCUGUAUAACUACCCACUUUUUUUAUGGUGGCUAACUUGUCGUGGAACUGUCAUCUCUAACUGUUGUCAUUACUCUUCGUCGUUCAACCGCCUUCAACUGGGCUCCUUGAAUCGUGGGAUGUGAUAAGAUCACUCAAUAACUGCUUCAACAACUGCUAUUCUGAAUAACCAUAAUGUUUUAUGCUUGCUAAGAUCCUGAGCGAUUCGAAUGUUUGGGCGAGAACAGGGUCAUCACUCUGGGCGACCGUAAGGUACUCCAUUCGCUCAGAUUCUGGGCGUUUUGCAAGUUUGGGCGAUGAUGUUACCAUGUUCGUGGGCUUCCAUUGCAUUCCUCAAUAAUCCUGUUUGGACAUUUAUCCUGGACUCUCCAAUUGGGUUUCACUCUUUGGACUAUUUGAUUUGGGUUGCAUUUUUAGUGUGUCAACAGGUAUAAUUGAACAAUAUGAUUAAGCUCCACACAGUUCAAAACCAAGUUCAAGACAAAAAUCAGAAGGAAAUUUUUUUCGCAAUAAGGUGGGUAUGAGCUUGGUUAUUUAAUCGUGUAUUGCUUUGAACAAUGGAGAGACACACAAUAGAGUAGUCAGUUGUCAAUUUUCCAAACUUAUGAUGUUCGGAGAGAACAAAAACUGAGGACAAAGGCUUUAUCAAGGGAGAAAAUCUUGAUGUUUGUCAUUCUCUUGACGGAAUUAUACUCCUUCCGAGGUGGAGGGGGAUAUUAGUUGGGCGACAUGAAGUGGACAAAAACAAACACAAGGCAUUUUAAUGUUAAAUCUUAUACUAUACAGGAGAGUUGCACCUGAGAUUUAGCAAAAGAGAAAAGUUCAGAGGGUGGAACGUAGCCAGAAGCACACUUGAGGGACUUUCCGGCAGAGGACAGAUAAUCAGAGUAGACAGUGAGGAGGAAUGAAGCACUUGUUACAAACUGCAUAUUGUUCCACCUCUGCCGGAAAAUGAGUCCUCCCGGAGUCUUUCGAACAUUGGCGGAGCCCUUUCCAAGGCAUGAGCACAUAAAGUACUCGGCUUUUUGCUGGUACUCUUCAAACACUGGUGUGUAAUGUCCACCUUUUUCCUUGCAUUAGGAACUGCAAAAAGAUGACAUUCAAAUUAGUUAUUAGAGAAGUUCUAAUAUAGCACAUUGAAUCCUGUUAUAAGAAAUGAUAUUUCAGUGUUGCGAGUUGUUAAACCACCACGCCAAAAAGAUGUUCGAC
Molecule: long non-coding RNA, 14808 nt
Filed under: Olea europaea subsp. europaea
Lineage: Eukaryota; Viridiplantae; Streptophyta; Magnoliopsida; Lamiales; Oleaceae
Source: RNAcentral